UACGGGGGGGGCAAGCGUUGUUCGGAAUUACUGGGCGUAAAGGGUCUGUAGGUGGCCAACUAAGUCAGACGUGAAAUCCCUCAGCUUAACUGGGGAACUGCGUCUGAGACUGGAUGGCUCGAGUGCAGGAGAGGAAUGCGGAAUUCCAGGUGUAGCGGUGAAAUGCGCAGAUAUCGGGAGGAACACCAAUGGCGAAGGCAGCUUGCUGGGACGGUACUGACGCUGAGGCGCGAAAGCGUGGGGAGCAAACAGG
This 253-nucleotide ribosomal RNA is filed under the name uncultured bacterium. Its description in RNAcentral is "partial 16S ribosomal RNA". It matches the Rfam family "Bacterial small subunit ribosomal RNA", at positions 524 to 776 of the family's 1533-position model. The record is from RNAcentral.